GUGGGAAAUUUUGGACAAUGGGCGCAAGCCUGAUCCAGCAAUGCCGCGUGUGUGAAGAAGGCCUUCGGGUUGUAAAGCACUUUUGUCCGGAAAGAAAUCUCCUGGGUUAAUACCUCGGGGGGAUGACGGUACCGGAAGAAUAAGCACCGGCUAACUACGUGCCAGCAGCCGCGGUAAUACGUAGGGUGCGAGCGUUAAUCGGAAUUACUGGGCGUAAAGCGUGCGCAGGCGGCUCUGCAAGACAGAUGUGAAAGGCCCGGGCUCAACCUGGGAACUGCAUUUGUGACUGCAAGGCUAGAGUGCGUCAGAGGGAGGUGGAAUUCCGCGUGUAGCAGUGAAAUGCGUAGAGAUGUGGAGGAAUACCGAUGGCGAAGGCAGCCCCCUGGGAUAACACUGACGCUCAUGCACGAAAGCGUGGGGAGCAAACAGGAUUAGAAACCCUAGUAGUCC
This 450-nucleotide ribosomal RNA is filed under the name uncultured bacterium. RNAcentral's name for it is "partial 16S ribosomal RNA". It matches the Rfam family "Bacterial small subunit ribosomal RNA", at positions 354 to 796 of the family's 1533-position model. The record is from RNAcentral.